This 1038-nucleotide ribosomal RNA is filed under the name Arthrobacter sp. RNAcentral's name for it is "bacterial SSU rRNA". It matches the Rfam family "Bacterial small subunit ribosomal RNA", at positions 380 to 1427 of the family's 1533-position model. The record is from RNAcentral. Lineage: Bacteria; Bacillati; Actinomycetota; Actinomycetes; Micrococcales; Micrococcaceae.
AGCCUGAUGCAGCGACGCCGCGUGAGGGAUGACGGCCUUCGGGUUGUAAACCUCUUUCAGUAGGGAAGAAGCGAAAGUGACGGUACCUGCAGAAGAAGCGCCGGCUAACUACGUGCCAGCAGCCGCGGUAAUACGUAGGGCGCAAGCGUUAUCCGGAAUUAUUGGGCGUAAAGAGCUCGUAGGCGGUUUGUCGCGUCUGCCGUGAAAGUCCGGGGCUCAACUCCGGAUCUGCGGUGGGUACGGGCAGACUAGAGUGAUGUAGGGGAGACUGGAAUUCCUGGUGUAGCGGUGAAAUGCGCAGAUAUCAGGAGGAACACCGAUGGCGAAGGCAGGUCUCUGGGCAUUAACUGACGCUGAGGAGCGAAAGCAUGGGGAGCGAACAGGAUUAGAUACCCUGGUAGUCCAUGCCGUAAACGUUGGGCACUAGGUGUGGGGGACAUUCCACGUUUUCCGCGCCGUAGCUAACGCAUUAAGUGCCCCGCCUGGGGAGUACGGCCGCAAGGCUAAAACUCAAAGGAAUUGACGGGGGCCCGCACAAGCGGCGGAGCAUGCGGAUUAAUUCGAUGCAACGCGAAGAACCUUACCAAGGCUUGACAUGGACCGGACCGCCGCAGAAAUGUGGUUUCCCCUUUGGGGCCGGUUCACAGGUGGUGCAUGGUUGUCGUCAGCUCGUGUCGUGAGAUGUUGGGUUAAGUCCCGCAACGAGCGCAACCCUCGUUCCAUGUUGCCAGCGCGUAAUGGCGGGGACUCAUGGGAGACUGCCGGGGUCAACUCGGAGGAAGGUGGGGACGACGUCAAAUCAUCAUGCCCCUUAUGUCUUGGGCUUCACGCAUGCUACAAUGGCCGGUACAAAGGGUUGCGAUACUGUGAGGUGGAGCUAAUCCCAAAAAGCCGGUCUCAGUUCGGAUUGGGGUCUGCAACUCGACCCCAUGAAGUCGGAGUCGCUAGUAAUCGCAGAUCAGCAACGCUGCGGUGAAUACGUUCCCGGGCCUUGUACACACCGCCCGUCAAGUCACGAAAGUUGGUAACACCCGAAGC